Molecule: ribosomal RNA, 673 nt
Filed under: uncultured bacterium
Lineage: Bacteria
Description: bacterial SSU rRNA
Rfam family: Bacterial small subunit ribosomal RNA
Source: RNAcentral
AGCGGCGGACGGGUUAGUAACGCGUGGGAAUAUGCCCAAAGGUACGGAAUAGCCUCUGGAAACGGAGAGUAAUACCGUAUGUGCCCUUCGGGGGAAAGAUUUAUCGCCUUUGGAUUAGCCCGCGUUGGAUUAGGUAGUUGGUGGGGUAAUGGCCUACCAAGCCUACGAUCCAUAGCUGGUUUGAGAGGAUGAUCAGCAACACUGGGACUGAGACACGGCCCAGACUCCUACGGGAGGCAGCAGUAGGGAAUCUUAGACAAUGGGCGAAAGCCUGAUCUAGCCAUGCCGCGUGAGUGAAGAAGGCCCUAGGGUCGUAAAGCUCUUUCGCCAGGGAUGAUAAUGACAGUACCUGGUAAAGAAACCCCGGCUAACUCCGUGCCAGCAGCCGCGGUAAUACGGAGGGGGUUAGCGUUGUUCGGAAUUACUGGGCGUAAAGCGUACGUAGGCGGAUUAGUCAGUCAGAGGUGAAAUCCCAGGGCUCAACCCUGGAACUGCCUUUGAUACUGCUAGUCUUGAGUUCGAGAGAGGUGAGUGGAAUUCCAAGUGUAGAGGUGAAAUUCGUAGAUAUUUGGAGGAACACCAGUGGCGAAAGCGGCUCACUGGCUCGAUACUGACGCUGAGGUACGAAGUGUGGGGAGCAAACAGGAUUAGAUACCCUGGUAGUCCACACCGA